ACUUUAACAGUUUGUCUUGCCAUUCCUUUUUUGUUGGCACAAUUUCUUUUUUCCAGCAAGGAUCCUAAUUGCUAAAAACUGGAAAAAAGAAAUUGUGCCAACCAAAAUGGAAUGGCAAGACAAACUGUCAAAGU
Molecule: non-coding RNA, 134 nt
Organism: Podarcis lilfordi (Lilford's wall lizard)
Lineage: Eukaryota; Metazoa; Chordata; Lepidosauria; Squamata; Lacertidae
Source: the annotation of a GenBank genome assembly